CCUCGGGUGGCUGCAGUUAAGAAUCUUGCACAAUGGGCGCAAGCCUGAUGCAGCGACGCCGCGUGAAUGAUGAAGGCUUUCGGGUUGUAAAGUUCAGUAAGCAGGGAAGAAUAAGCACCGGGUAAUAUUCGGUGUGAUGACGGUACCUGCCUAAAGCCCCGGCUAACUACGUGCCAGCAGCCGCGGUAAUACGUAUGGGGCGAGCGUUGUUCGGAAUUAUUGGGCGUAGAGGGCGUCUAGGCGGGGGUGUGAAAGCUAUGGGCUCAACCCAUAAACUGCACCUAAAACUGAAUCUCUUGAGUUCGGGAGAGGAGAGCGGAAUUCCAGGUGUAGCGGUGAAAUGCGUAGAUAUCUGGAAGAACACCAGUGGCGAAGGCGGCUCUCUGGCCUAGAACUGACGCUGAAGCGCGAAAGCGUGGGGAGCGAACAGGAUUAGAUACCCUGGUAGUC
Molecule: ribosomal RNA, 450 nt
Filed under: uncultured bacterium
Lineage: Bacteria
Description: partial 16S ribosomal RNA
Rfam family: Bacterial small subunit ribosomal RNA
Source: RNAcentral